UAGGGCGGGACACGUGGUAUCCUGUCUGAAUAUGGGGGGACCAUCCUCCAAGGCUAAAUACUCCUGACUGACCGAUAGUGAACCAGUACCGUGAGGGAAAGGCGAAAAGAACCCCGGCGAGGGGAGUGAAAAAGAACCUGAAACCGUGUACGUACAAGCAGUGGGAGCCUCUUUUAUGGGGUGACUGCGUACCUUUUGUAUAAUGGGUCAGCGACUUAUAUUCUGUAGCAAGGUUAACCGAAUAGGGGAGCCGAAGGGAAACCGAGUCUUAACUGGGCGUUAAGUUGCAGGGUAUAGACCCGAAACCCGGUGAUCUAGCCAUGGGCAGGUUGAAGGUUGGGUAACACUAACUGGAGGACCGAACCGACUAAUGUUGAAAAAUUAGCGGAUGACUUGUGGCUGGGGGUGAAAGGCCAAUCAAACCGGGAGAUAGCUGGUUCUCCCCGAAAGCUAUUUAGGUAGCGCCUCGUGAAUUCAUCUCCGGGGGUAGAGCACUGUUUCGGCAAGGGGGUCAUCCCGACUUACCAACCCGAUGCAAACUGCGAAUACCGGAGAAUGUUAUCACGGGAGACACACGGCGGGUGCUAACGUCCGUCGUGAAGAGGGAAACAACCCAGACCGCCAGCUAAGGUCCCAAAGUCAUGGUUAAGUGGGAAACGAUGUGGGAAGGCCCAGACAGCCAGGAUGUUGGCUUAGAAGCAGCCAUCAUUUAAAGAAAGCGUAAUAGCUCACUGGUCGAGUCGGCCUGCGCGGAAGAUGUAACGGGGCUAAACCAUGCACCGAAGCUGCGGCAGCGACGCUUAUGCGUUGUUGGGUA
Molecule: ribosomal RNA, 817 nt
Filed under: Escherichia coli
Lineage: Bacteria; Pseudomonadati; Pseudomonadota; Gammaproteobacteria; Enterobacterales; Enterobacteriaceae
Description: partial 23S ribosomal RNA
Rfam family: Bacterial large subunit ribosomal RNA
Source: RNAcentral